RNAcentral lists this ribosomal RNA (253 nucleotides) under uncultured bacterium. RNAcentral's name for it is "partial 16S ribosomal RNA". It matches the Rfam family "Bacterial small subunit ribosomal RNA", at positions 524 to 776 of the family's 1533-position model. The record is from RNAcentral.
UACGUAGUGUGCAAGCGUUGUCCGGAAUUAUUGGGCGUAAAGAGCUCGUAGGCGGUCUGUCGCGUCUGGUGUGAAAAUCCAGGGCUUAACCCUGGACCUGCAUCGGGUACGGGCAGACUAGAGUGCGGUAGGGGAGAUCGGAAUUCCUGGUGUAGCGGUGAAAUGCGCAGAUAUCAGGAGGAACACCGGUGGCGAAGGCGGGUCUCUGGGCCGAUACUGACGCUGAGGAGCGAAAGAGUGGGGAGCGAACAGG